Molecule: non-coding RNA, 92 nt
Organism: Takifugu rubripes (torafugu)
Lineage: Eukaryota; Metazoa; Chordata; Actinopteri; Tetraodontiformes; Tetraodontidae
Source: Rfam
GGCUCUGUGGCGCAAUGGAGAGCGCAUUGGACUUCUAGUUGAGUGUGUAAAGAGCAAUUCAAAGGUUGUGGGUUCGAGUCCCACCAGAGUCG